GUAUUCUCUUUUUUAUGUUUUAUCUUUGCUGACUGCCAGAUGCAAAGGACAGAGCUUGUAAUAAUGAUUGACAGGGAGCUAAGAUGGAGGCACCCAGAUACAGGAUAAAGAGAGAGAGGAGAGAGAGUGAAUUCACCUGCGAUCCCAUGGGGUAUCCAAGUUCUCAAUGUGGCCUGGUCUUCCUUCUGUGGCAUCAUAACCUCUCACGAAAGCAU
Pelobates cultripes (western spadefoot toad) is the source of this 215-nucleotide non-coding RNA. The record is from the annotation of a GenBank genome assembly. NCBI's taxonomy places the organism in Eukaryota, Metazoa, Chordata, Amphibia, Anura, Pelobatidae.